Molecule: ribosomal RNA, 575 nt
Filed under: uncultured bacterium
Lineage: Bacteria
Description: bacterial SSU rRNA
Rfam family: Bacterial small subunit ribosomal RNA
Source: RNAcentral
CCUACGGGAGGCAGCAGUGAGGAAUAUUGGACAAUGGGCGCAAGCCUGAUCCAGCCAUGCCGCGUGCAGGAAGAAGCAUCUAUGGUGUGUAAACUGCUUUUGUACAGGAAGAAACACUCCCUCGUGAGGGAGCUUGACGGUACUGUAAGAAUAAGGACCGGCUAACUCCGUGCCAGCAGCCGCGGUAAUACGGAGGGUCCGAGCGUUAUCCGGAAUCAUUGGGUUUAAAGGGUCCGUAGGCGGUUUAAUAAGUCAGUGGUGAAAUCUGGUCGCUCAACGAUCAAACGGCCAUUGAUACUGUUAGACUUGAAUUAUAAGGAAGUAACUAGAAUAUGUAGUGUAGCGGUGAAAUGCUUAGAUAUUACAUGGAAUACCAAUUGCGAAGGCAGGUUACUACUUAUGGAUUGACGCUGAUGGACGAAAGCGUGGGGAGCGAACAGGAUUAGAUACCCUGGUAGUCCACGCCGUAAACGAUGGAUACUAGCUGUUCGGAGCAAUCUGAGUGGCUAAGCGAAAGUGAUAAGUAUCCCACCUGGGGAGUACGUUCGCAAGAUGAAACUCAAAGGAAUUGACGG